Molecule: ribosomal RNA, 2906 nt
Filed under: Campylobacter coli
Lineage: Bacteria; Pseudomonadati; Campylobacterota; Epsilonproteobacteria; Campylobacterales; Campylobacteraceae
Description: 23S ribosomal RNA
Rfam family: Bacterial large subunit ribosomal RNA
Source: RNAcentral
AGGUAAGCUACUAAGAGCGAAUGGUGGAUGCCUUGACUGGUAAAGGCGAUGAAGGACGUACUAGACUGCGAUAAGCUACGGGGAGCUGUCAAGAAGCUUUGAUCCGUAGAUUUCCGAAUGGGGCAACCCAAUGUAUAGAGAUAUACAUUACCUAUAUAGGAGCGAACGAGGGGAAUUGAAACAUCUUAGUACCCUCAGGAAAAGAAAUCAAUAGAGAUUGCGUCAGUAGCGGCGAGCGAAAGCGCAAGAGGGCAAACCCAGUGCUUGCACUGGGGGUUGUAGGACUGCAAUGUGCAAGAGGUGAGUUUAGCAGAACAUUCUGGAAAGUAUAGCCAUAGAGGGUGAUAGUCCCGUAUGCGAAAAACAAACCUUAGCUAGCAGUAUCCUGAGUAGGGCGGGACACGAGAAAUCCUGUCUGAAGCUGGGUCGACCACGAUCCAACCCUAAAUACUAAUACCAGAUCGAUAGUGCACAAGUACCGUGAGGGAAAGGUGAAAAGAACUGAGGUGAUCAGAGUGAAAUAGAACCUGAAACCAUUUGCUUACAAUCAUUCAGAGCCCUAUGUAGCAAUACAGGGUGAUGGACUGCCUUUUGCAUAAUGAGCCUGCGAGUUGUGGUGUCUGGCAAGGUUAAGCAAACGCGAAGCCGUAGCGAAAGCGAGUCUGAAUAGGGCGCUUAGUCAGAUGCUGCAGACCCGAAACGAAGUGAUCUAUCCAUGAGCAAGUUGAAGCUAGUGUAAGAACUAGUGGAGGACUGAACCCAUAGGCGUUGAAAAGCCCCGGGAUGACUUGUGGAUAGGGGUGAAAGGCCAAUCAAACUUCGUGAUAGCUGGUUCUCUCCGAAAUAUAUUUAGGUAUAGCGUUGUGUCGUAAUAUAAGGGGGUAGAGCACUGAAUGGGCUAGGGCAUACACCAAUGUACCAAACCCUAUCAAACUCCGAAUACCUUAUAUGUAAUCACAGCAGUCAGGCGGCGAGUGAUAAAAUCCGUCGUCAAGAGGGAAACAACCCAGACUACCAGCUAAGGUCCCUAAAUCUUACUUAAGUGGAAAACGAUGUGAAGUUACUUAAACAACCAGGAGGUUGGCUUAGAAGCAGCCAUCCUUUAAAGAAAGCGUAAUAGCUCACUGGUCUAGUGAUUUUGCGCGGAAAAUAUAACGGGGCUAAAGUAAGUACCGAAGCUGUAGACUUAGUUUACUAAGUGGUAGGAGAGCGUUCUAUUUGCGUCGAAGGUAUACCGGUAAGGAGUGCUGGAGCGAAUAGAAGUGAGCAUGCAGGCAUGAGUAGCGAUAAUUAAUGUGAGAAUCAUUAACGCCGUAAACCCAAGGUUUCCUACGCGAUGCUCGUCAUCGUAGGGUUAGUCGGGUCCUAAGUCGAGUCCGAAAGGGGUAGACGAUGGCAAAUUGGUUAAUAUUCCAAUACCAACAUUAGUGUGCGAUGGAAGGACGCUUAGGGCUAAGGGGGCUAGCGGAUGGAAGUGCUAGUCUAAGGUCGUAGGAGGUUAUACAGGCAAAUCCGUAUAACAAUACUCCGAGAACUGAAAGGCUUUUUGAAGUCUUCGGAUGGAUAGAAGAACCCCUGAUGCCAUCGAGCCAAGAAAAGUUUCUAAGUUUAGCUAAUGUUGCCCGUACCGUAAACCGACACAGGUGGGUGGGAUGAGUAUUCUAAGGCGCGUGGAAGAACUCUCUUUAAGGAACUCUGCAAAAUAGCACCGUAUCUUCGGUAUAAGGUGUGGUUCGCUUCGUAUUAGGAUUUACUCCGAAAGCGAAGAAACUUACAACAAAGAGUCCCUCCCGACUGUUUACCAAAAACACAGCACUCUGCUAACUCGUAAGAGGAUGUAUAGGGUGUGACGCCUGCCCGGUGCUCGAAGGUUAAUUGAUGGGGUUAGCAUUAGCGAAGCUCUUGAUCGAAGCCCGAGUAAACGGCGGCCGUAACUAUAACGGUCCUAAGGUAGCGAAAUUCCUUGUCGGUUAAAUACCGACCUGCAUGAAUGGCGUAACGAGAUGGGAGCUGUCUCAAAGAGGGAUCCAGUGAAAUUGUAGUGGAGGUGAAAAUUCCUCCUACCCGCGGCAAGACGGAAAGACCCGUGGACCUUUACUACAGCUUGACACUGCUAUUUGGAUAAGAAUGUGCAGGAUAGGUGGGAGGCUUUGAGUAUAUGACGCCAGUUGUAUAUGAGCCAUUGUUGAGAUACCACUCUUUCUUAUUUGGGUAGCUAACCAGCUUGAGUUAUCCUCAAGUGGGACAAUGUCUGGUGGGUAGUUUGACUGGGGCGGUCGCCUCCCAAAUAAUAACGGAGGCUUACAAAGGUUGGCUCAGAACGGUUGGAAAUCGUUCGUAGAGUAUAAAGGUAUAAGCCAGCUUAACUGCAAGACAUACAAGUCAAGCAGAGACGAAAGUCGGUCUUAGUGAUCCGGUGGUUCUGCGUGGAAGGGCCAUCGCUCAAAGGAUAAAAGGUACCCCGGGGAUAACAGGCUGAUCUCCCCCAAGAGCUCACAUCGACGGGGAGGUUUGGCACCUCGAUGUCGGCUCAUCGCAUCCUGGGGCUGGAGCAGGUCCCAAGGGUAUGGCUGUUCGCCAUUUAAAGCGGUACGCGAGCUGGGUUCAGAACGUCGUGAGACAGUUCGGUCCCUAUCUGCCGUGGGCGUAAGAAGAUUGAAGAGAUUUGACCCUAGUACGAGAGGACCGGGUUGAACAAACCACUGGUGUAGCUGUUGUUCUGCCAAGAGCAUCGCAGCGUAGCUAAGUUUGGAAAGGAUAAACGCUGAAAGCAUCUAAGCGUGAAGCCAACUCUAAGAUGAAUCUUCUCUAAGCUCUCUAGAAGACUACUAGUUUGAUAGGCUGGGUGUGUAAUGGAUGAAAGUCCUUUAGCUGACCAGUACUAAUAGAGCGUUUGGCUUAUCUUU